Long non-coding RNA from Marmota flaviventris (yellow-bellied marmot), 555 nucleotides. RefSeq lists it as uncharacterized. The record is from RefSeq and is a predicted model, not a curated record. Lineage: Eukaryota; Metazoa; Chordata; Mammalia; Rodentia; Sciuridae.
UGAGUUCACACCUCAGAAGAAAGGUGGAGAGAAAGGUGUCCCUUUCUACCUCUAGAUAAACAUCUUCAAGCCCAGUGACAAGGCAUCUGUAGAGCACCUGAAUUUGGCUGGCUGCCUCACCAAGGUGUUCAAGGUUUGGGCAGCCCUGGCUCUGCCUUGCUGUGGACUUUCAGCAUUCCAAGCCUUUGUUUUGGGACUCUUCUCCUUUUCUAUACAGAGAGGGAUGGGAUUUGUGGUGAGCAGGGAAAGAAGGGGUCUCUGAAGCUUCUGUAUCACCCUUCUGGAACCCAAAGGAGCUGACUAGAAACUGAAAACUGACCAGGAGAAGAUUGUGAAACAACCCCCGCCUGAGAGACAACUCUCGGAGCCUGCAAGAGCAUGGUCUUCUUGGAGUAUUUGCCCCGGCCAGAAUUUACUGCAGCCACCUCUCAGUCCUCUCACUCUGACCUCUGCCAAGUCCCAAAAGCUCCUGUCCUCAAAUAGGAUGUGCAUGUGUCAGCCCCUUCAGGUACUGUUUUUCACCAUCAUUCACCUUGGGAUUCAGCUCAGUUGAGG